GGUCCCUAUCUUCCGUGGGCGCUGCAAGAUUGAGAGAGCCUGCUCCUAGUACGAGAGGACCGGAGUGGACGCACCUCUGGUGUAUCGGUUGUCACGCCAGUGGCAUCGCCGAGUAGCUAUGUGCGGAAGAGAUAACCGCUGAAAGCAUCUAAGCGGGAAGCCUCCUCCAAGACUAGGUUUCCCUGAGAAUUAAUUUCUCCUAAAGGUCCGUUCGAGACCAGGACGUUGAUAGGCUGGGUGUGUAAGUGCAGUAAUGCAUUGAGCUGACCAGUACUAAUUGCUCGUGAGGCUUGACCCUAUAACGCUG
Molecule: ribosomal RNA, 307 nt
Filed under: Pseudomonas sp.
Lineage: Bacteria; Pseudomonadati; Pseudomonadota; Gammaproteobacteria; Pseudomonadales; Pseudomonadaceae
Description: partial 23S ribosomal RNA
Rfam family: Bacterial large subunit ribosomal RNA
Source: RNAcentral